This 490-nucleotide ribosomal RNA is filed under the name uncultured bacterium. Its description in RNAcentral is "partial 16S ribosomal RNA". It matches the Rfam family "Bacterial small subunit ribosomal RNA", at positions 30 to 507 of the family's 1533-position model. The record is from RNAcentral.
AUUGAACGCUGGCGGCAUGCCUUACACAUGCAAGUCGAACGGCAGCAUGAUCUAGCUUGCUAGAUUGAUGGCGAGUGGCGAACGGGUGAGUAAUACAUCGGAACGUGCCCUGUAGUGGGGGAUAACUAGUCGAAGGAUUAGCUAAUACCGCAUACGACCUGAGGGUGAAAGUGGGGGACCGCAAGGCCUCAUGCUAUAGGAGCGGCCGAUGUCUGAUUAGCUAGUUGGUGAGGUAAAGGCUCACCAAGGCGACGAUCAGUAGCUGGUCUGAGAGGACGAUCAGCCACACUGGGACUGAGACACGGCCCAGACUCCUACGGGAGGCAGCAGUGGGGAAUUUUGGACAAUGGGCGAAAGCCUGAUCCAGCAAUGCCGCGCGUGUGAAGAAGGCCUUCGGGUUGUAAAGCACUUUUGUCCGGAAAGAAAUGGCUCUGGUUAAUACCUGGGGUCGAUGACGGUACCGGAAGAAUAAGGACCGGCUAACUACGUG